CUAAGUACUCCCGCUCAACUUUCAUUCCUAAGUCCAAAUCUCUACAACCACCGUCUCACCGCCACCUUCGCACCUUCGCAGCGCCAUCGACGUCUCACCCACCGUCGCACCGCCACCGAAGUCUGCUGCCUCCGGUGCUUUGUCCUUGGCCUCGGUCGACGAUUGUAGCAGUCAAUGUCGCGCAUCUUUCUCUCUCUCUCCCAUCGUCCUUCUCGGUCUUCCCCACCCCCAAAUCCUAAACCCUAGGUUGUCGCAGGCGGCCUGCCAUUGAAGCUUCUCAGGAAAGCCAACUUUCCCCUCACGACCUAUCUCGCACUCCUCUUUUUUUCCCCAAAUCCAGAACCCUAGGUCGUUUGUCGCCACCGCCUCCAUCGGUAGUCACCUCCCUUGCACUGAAAUACUCCGAUUUUGAUGGCGGCGGCCCUCUCUCUCGUAGAUAAUAUGCACAAAUUGGGCACAACUUUAUCUUUCUAGGGUUCUAAAUCGCACCGGUAACGACAGUUCUCUCCCUAUCUCUCUCCACUCUCCAACUUCAGUAAGUCCUGAACUCUGCACNUCUC
RNAcentral lists this long non-coding RNA (560 nucleotides) under Salvia miltiorrhiza (redroot sage). RNAcentral describes it as "long non-coding RNA (SMIL_LNC014098)". The record is from RNAcentral. Lineage: Eukaryota; Viridiplantae; Streptophyta; Magnoliopsida; Lamiales; Lamiaceae.